AAAGUCCAUAGUUCUGGGGAAGUCUCGAAAUGUACUACCCUUGCUUUGCGACUUCUGUAGUUCUGCUGCUGGCUACCUGUUCUUGUUAACUGAACUCUGCCAAUCCAGGACAUCGUUUUUGUGCUUACAAGCUCACCUUGAGAAGGGAUUCCAGACCUCAGAGUAGUUGUUAGCCAGCGAGUAAAGACUUUCUGUUGGCUUAAACCCACAUCUAAGCAGUCAUCUCUGGUGAACUACCCAGCAGCAACCUGUGCUUGAUCCCUGGAGCCACAGAUGGUGGAGAGAAAUGACUUCCACAGACUAUGGGCUUCACAUGCCCAUAAGCACUUGUGUGCACAUAGAAACACAAUAAAGUGGGGGGAAAAAACAGUUCAGUGGGAAAAUGUUUGCAAGAAGAAAAUGUGCUACAUGUACACAUUUGUCUCAGGAUUUGACCAGGAAUUGUUUUGGUUUGAUGAAAAACCAGGACCAAAGCAACUUGGGAAGAGAAGAGUUGGCUGACAUUUCCACACUUCACUGGAACUCAGGACAAGAAAUCAAACAGGGCAGGUUCCUGAGGCAGGAGCUGAUGCAGAAGCCAUGGAGGGGUGCUGCCUAGGGACUUGCUCAGCCUGCUUUUUUACGGAAUGCAGGACCACCAGCCCAGUGUGGCACCACCCACAUUGGGUUGGACUCUCCUCAUCAAUCACUAAUUAAGAAAAUACCUUACACUAAUCCCAGCACUUGGGAGGCAGAGGCAGGCAGAUUUCUGAGUUCAAGGCUAGCCUGGUUUACAGAGUGAGUUCCAGGACAGCCAGGGCUACACAGAGAAACCCUGUCUCUGAAAAAAAGAAAGAAAGAGAGAGAGAGAGAGAGAGAGAGAGAGAGAGAGAGAGAGAGAGAGAGAGAAGAGAAGAGAAGAGAAGAGAAGAGAAGAGAAGAGAAGAGAAGAGAAGAGAAGAGAAGAGAAAGAAAGGAAAGGAAAGAGAG
RNAcentral lists this long non-coding RNA (969 nucleotides) under Mus musculus (house mouse). Its description in RNAcentral is "long non-coding RNA chr3:108551664-108552633". The record is from RNAcentral. Lineage: Eukaryota; Metazoa; Chordata; Mammalia; Rodentia; Muridae.